AGCAGCCGCGGUAAUUCCAGCUCCAAUAGCGUAUAUUAAAGUUGUUGCAGUUAAAAAGCUCGUAGUUGAAUUUCGGGGUUAGUAGGUUGGUCAUGCCUCUGGUAUGUACUGGUCUCACUGAUUCCUCCUUCCUGAUGAACCUUAAUGCCAUUAAUUUGGUGUUUUGGGGAAUUUGGACUGUUACUUUGAAAAAAUUUAGAGUGUUUAAAGCAAGCUACGCUUGAAUACAUUAGCAUGGAAUAAUGAAAUAGGACGUUCGAUCCUAUUUUGUUGGUUUCUAGGAUUGACGUAAUGAUUAAUAGGGAUAGUUGGGGGCAUUAGUAUUCAAUUGUCAGAGGUGAAAUUCUUGGAUUUAUUGAAGACUAACUACUGCGAAAGCAUUUGCCAAGGAUGUUUUCAUUAAUCAAGAACGAAAGUUAGGGGAUCGAAGACGAUCAGAUACCGUCGUAGUCUUAACCAUAAACUAUGCCGACUAGGGAUCGGAUGAUGUUAAUUUUUUU
RNAcentral lists this ribosomal RNA (500 nucleotides) under uncultured Glomus. Its description in RNAcentral is "SSU rRNA". It matches the Rfam family "Eukaryotic small subunit ribosomal RNA", at positions 569 to 1073 of the family's 1831-position model. Lineage: Eukaryota; Fungi; Glomeromycota; Glomeromycetes; Glomerales; Glomeraceae. The record is from RNAcentral.